This 488-nucleotide ribosomal RNA is filed under the name uncultured bacterium. RNAcentral's name for it is "partial 16S ribosomal RNA". It matches the Rfam family "Bacterial small subunit ribosomal RNA", at positions 28 to 507 of the family's 1533-position model. The record is from RNAcentral.
GAUGAACGCUAGCGGCAGGCCUAAUACAUGCAAGUCGGACGGGAUCCAUUGAUAGCUUGCUAUCAAUGGUGAGAGUGGCGCACGGGUGCGUAACGCGUGAGCAACCUGCCUCCAUCAGGGGGAUAGCUUCUCGAAAGAGAGAUUAACACCGCAUAAUAUCAACAGUUCGCAUGUUCAGUUGAUUAAAUAUUUAUAGGAUGGAGAUGGGCUCGCGUGACAUUAGCUAGUUGGUAGGGUAACGGCUUACCAAGGCGACGAUGUCUAGGGGCUCUGAGAGGAGAAUCCCCCACACUGGUACUGAGACACGGACCAGACUCCUACGGGAGGCAGCAGUAAGGAAUAUUGGGCAAUGGGCGGAAGCCUGAACCAGCCAUGCCGCGUGCAGGAUGACUGCCCUAUGGGUUGUAAACUGCUUUUGUCCAGGAAUAAACCUAAAUACGAGUAUUUAGCUGAAUGUACUGGAAGAAUAAGAAUCGGCUAACUCCGUG